Molecule: long non-coding RNA, 5386 nt
Filed under: Canis lupus familiaris (dog)
Lineage: Eukaryota; Metazoa; Chordata; Mammalia; Carnivora; Canidae
Description: lncRNA (ENSCAFG00040016169.1)
Source: RNAcentral
AUGGACGACUUCAGCUUCCCUGCAGCGGGCCGUGCAUCUGUGGUAUCUGUGAGCGCCUCCCCCGCCAGACUGAGGUGUGUCCCUCCAGGGUCGGACUUCAGCACCUCGUCCGAGGUGGCAGGAGGCUGUGCUCUUUGGUUUCGCCUAUCUCGGGCUUCCCGCCCCGCCGCGCAGGCAGCGGAACCCACAGCCGGGGCGUGUCGCGCAGUUCCGCGGAACCUCCCUGCCUCGGCGCGUCAGUCGUGUACUCUACCCCGGCAGGAACCGAACGGAGACGGAGAAGUCUCCUGGCACCUCCGGACGUGGGGACUACAGGCCUGGACAUCAAGCCCACCCGGCAAACUUUCCUUGGCAUGCCGGAGUUCUACGGCUUGCGGUACCAAAUCCUGGGCACACUGGACCAGUUUUCCGAACAUCAGGUAUAUAGAGGAGGUGAGAUGUACAUUUGUGCCUAUUAUAGGCUUACCUCUGGACCUCCAGAGCCAGGAGGAUGAAGCACUCCGGGGAAAAUUAGUUUUUUUGUUUUUCUGUUUUGUUUUGUUUUUUGGAAAUCAGAGCCACAAAAGAAUAUUCCCAGUUGGCGAAAAGUAAUUGGUGAUACUUGUCACAUGGUCAGAACAAAAAAAUAAAGCUCAGACUGAUGGAUAAGGUAAAUCUUAGUUAAGUUUUACAAAGGAAUUCAUCUCGAGAAAGGCAAUUUUAGUGAAAUUAAAAUGCAAAUAAUUGAAAGUGGUUUAAUACUGGUAUAUAGAAUUAAAUCGAUAUAACGGUGUUUGCUCUGGAAAAUACAUUUUAGACAAUGGUUCUUAGAGCUCUGAGUGUUUGUGUUCACAACACAGAAGACAUCUUGCAAUGGAAAAGUUUUAUUCUUAGAAGGAGCCUCAGAAACCAGCUGCAUCGGAAAGGUGAUUGACGGUCAGAGAGGAAAACUGACUGACUUACUAAAAGUAACGCGAGGAGUAUGAACAGUUGUAAAAAGAGUUCUUUUUUAAGAACCCUGUUCUUAAACAGGUCUUAAACCCUGUUCUAUUAACAGGUCUCUGAUUAGUUGAGUAGUGAUGCUCUAGGAGAAAGAGAAAAUAAAAUAGCUGUAAUCCCACAGAUUGGAUUUAGAGAGGGAGAGUGUAAUGAAAAGGUUAUAUAGGUUUUUGAAUAUUUUGAGUAAGGAACUUUGGGUUUGAACCCUGGCUCCAUAUCACUUAUGCCUUGGGAGCUACAGUUUCCCCACCUGUCUGGUAUAGAUUAUGCCUACUUCAUAGAUAGUUAAAGGAGUAAAUAACAUUAUCAGUUUAAAAGUUCUAGCACAGUGUCUUGCAUAUGAGUUGCUAUCAAGUUCAGGCCUCUGCUCUUCUUAGCUCCUAUGAAAGAGUUGACCUCUACCCACGCACCUCCACCCACUAUCCCCAAGCAACAUGGAACAAAGGAGCCUGAGUGAUCUACAAUUUGGGUAACCAGUUCUCAAGUCUUGUGGCUGAAGAUGAAUUCAGUAAGGAUGACAUAACUCAAUUUUGUUUUCUAUAUUGUGUAUUUGAGGAAUGGGUAAUAUGCCUUAUGGUGAGCACAUAUUUGAAUAUUUGUGUGCCAAAUUAAACUUGUUUUGCUUGUUUAUGCUACUAUUUUGCAAGGCCCUGGUCACUUAAUGCUGUUUUUCUCUCAUGCUUUCUUUCUCUCUCUUUUGGAGAGAGGAGGGGGAGGCAUAUAUGUGGUAGGGAUUUGGGAGAGGGCUAAGUGUAAGACCGAGGAAAGAAAAAACAACAUUGGGAGCAAGGGUGGCCUCCAGUUAGGCCCAAAGUCUUUGCUGAUAGAAUAGGGAUAAUCUAUGACAUGAGCAGUUUAUAAAUAGAUGCUGAGCAGAGGAUUUAGGAAAUGGAAGAGGCAGAUUAAGAUACCAUUUUUAUAAAGCCUGGUAGUAACUCAGGUGCUGUAUGUUUGAUUACUAAUUCAGUUUCUCCUUUAAAAAAAUUCUACUUCUAUUAAUUUUUUUCCUCUGCAAGUAGAAAUUUAUUGUGGAAAAAUAUUCGGAAUAUAGCAAGAUCUGCAAACCCGCAUUUCUUGGCUCAGUGGGCAAAAAUAAGGCAGCUCUUAGGUCAUUCAUUCAUUUACUUAGCAGUUUUUACUGAGGGCUUCCUCAUGUGUGCCAGGCAUGGUGUCAGGUUAUAAGGUCCCACUGGCCUGUAGAAGGAGCAGGGAAGACAUACUAGUGUCUCUGUGUGAGUACUCUGAGGGUGCUUUUACCCUUGUAUAAUUGAUAAUUUUUUUCUAUAAUUGUGGCAUGAUUUUCCAGAUUUAUACCACUACUUCUUGUUUUUUAUUUACUAUUUAUUUAUUUAUUUAUUUGAGACGCAGGGGGAGAGGGAGAGAGGCAGAGACACAGGCAGAGGGAGAAGCAGGCUGCAUGCAGGGAGCCCGAUGUGGGAUCGAUCCGGGGUCUCCAGGAUCAUGCCCUGGGCUGAAGGCAGAUGCUUAACCACUGAGCCCCCCCGGGCUGCCUUACUUCUUGUUUUUUUUUUUAAACUGAAUACUAGUUAUCUACAAACACCUUUUAUUUUAAUUAAUUAACUCUAAGAUUAGAACCCCUUCCAGUUUGGAAAUGUCAUGUAGUUAUAGAGCCUGCUUGCUAUAAAACAUAUUUUUCAACAUUCAAGCAUAGAUCCUCAAAACUUCAAUUAAUUAGCAGACAAGAGUAUUGAUCUAUUUAGAGAUAUCUAAAAGUAAUACUUAAACAUAAAAAGCAGAUAGGAGCAUAAUUUAAGUAAGUGGUAUAAAGACCUUAAGUUAAUACUUUUUUUCUUCAAAUUUUAUUUAAAAAUAAUUAUAGGAAUUUGCAAAGAUAGUACAGAGAGGUUCCAUAUACCCUUUACUUAGUUUCCCCAAUUGGUUACAUCUUACGUAAUGUAAGUAUAGUACGAUAUCAAAUCCAGGAAAAAAAAAAGUUAAGAUAUUUAAAUUCAAUUGGCCAACAUACAGUAUAAUACCCAGUACUCAUCCCAUCAAGUGCCCUCCUUUAGUGCCUGUCUCAAAUCCAGGAAAUUAGCCUUGAUAAAAGUACAUAUAGUUCCAUGACAUUUUACCAUAUGUAUAGAUUCCUAUAACUACCACUAUAAUCAAGAUACAAAAUUGUUGCAUCACCACAAAUAUCUUCCUCUUGUUCUCCUUUCUAGUCACACCCAUACCUCUUCUCCCCACCAUCCCUAACCCUAGGCAGCCACUAAUAAUUUCUCCGUCUGUGAUUUUGUCAUUUUGAGAAUGUGACAUAAAAGGAUUCCUAUGGUAUGUGACCUUUUGAGAUUGGAUUUUUUUUCAUUUGACACAGUACUCUUGAGAUCCAUCUAAGUUGAUCUGAGUUUUAGUAGUUUAUUUCUUUUUACUGCUGAGUAGUAUUCCAUGAUAUGAAUGUACUGUUUUAUUUGACUAGUCACUUUGUAGGGUAUUUGGUUGUUUCCAGCUCUUGGCUGUUAUAAAUAAAGCCGUUGUGAACAAUUGUACACAGAUUUUUGUGUGGACAUAAAUGUUCAUUUCUGUGAGAUAAAUGCCCAGGAGUGUGAUUGAUAGAUCAUACAUUAAUUGCAUGUUUAGUUUUAGAAGACACUGCCAAACGACUUUCCAGGGUCACUCUUCCAUUAGAGUCUUACCAGCAACACAUGAGAGAUCCAGUUCCUAUGCAUGCAUUACCAGCAUUUGAUAUUUUCACUCUAAAAAAUUUAGCUGUUCUCAUAGGUAUACAGUUUUAUCUCAUUGUGAUCUUAAAUUACUUUUCCCUUAAUUGCUAGUGAUGCUGAACAUCUUUUCAUGUGCUUAUUUGUCAUCCAUAUAUUCUUUUUGGUGAAAUGUCUGUUCAUGCACUUUGCCUAUUUUCUAACUGGAUUGUUUUCUUACUGUUGAGUUUUAAGAGUUCUUUAUAACUUCUAGUUAUCUAGGUAUCUAUAUAACAGAUAUGUGGUUUACAAAUGUUUUCUCCCAGUCUCUGGAUUGUCCUUUCAUCCUUUUCACGUGAGCUUUUAUAGAUUGAAUGUUUAAUUUUAAGGAUAUCCAAUUUACUAAUUUUUCUUUUGUGGAUUAUGCUUUUGAUGUCAUGUCUAAGAACUCUUCCCCAAGUUCUGAAGAUCUUUUCUUACAUUUUCUUCCAUUUUUAUAGUUUUACUUCUUAGAUUUACAUUUAUGAUACAUUUUGAAUUGACUUUUAUGUAAGGUGUAAGAUUUAGGUCAAGAAUUUUUUUUAUAGCUAUCCAUUGCUGCAGCACCAACUAUUGAAAAAACUAUCUUCUCUCCAUUGAAUUGCUUUUAUACCAUUAUCAAAAAUCAUUUGGCUUUAAUUCUGUAGGUCUAUGUUCACUCUUCUGCUCUAUUGAUCUGUAUGUUCCUCUGCCAACACCACACAAUCUUGAUUAGUUUAGCUAUAUAAUAUCUUGAAAUAGGAUAGAAUGGUUCCCUCCACUUUAUUCUUUUUCAAAAUUGUUUUAGCUAUUUUAGUUUAUUUGCCUUCCUACAUAAAUUUUAGAAUAAUCUUAUCUAUCUCUACAAAGUCAUUUCUGAGAUUUUUGUAGGAAGUGCAUUAAACAUAUUUAUCACUUUGGGGGAGAAUUAAUGUCUUUGUUGAGUCAUCUGAUCCAUGAUCAUAGUAUAUUUCCUCAUUUAUUUAAAGACUUCUUCGGGGAUCCCUGGGUGGCUCAGCGGUUUGGCUCCUGCCUUUGGCCCAGGGCGCAAUCCUGGAGUCCCGGGAUCGAGUCCUGCGUCAGGCUCCUGGCACGGAGCCUGCUUCUCCCUCUGCCUGUGUCUCUGCCUCUCUCUCUCUCUCUCUCUCUCUCUCUCAUGAAUAAAUAAAUAAAAUCUUAAAAAAAAAAAAAGAUUUCUUUGACUUCUUUUCAGCAGUGUUUUGUAGUUUUCAGCAUAGGAGCCCUGUACAUGUUUUGUUAGAUUUAUACCUAAGUAUUGUAUUUUAAAAAUAAUAGUUUUAUUGAGAUUUUUUUGGCAUGAUUUUAAAUAGUAUUUUAUUUUUAAUUUUGGUUUCUAUGUGUCCUUGCUAGUUUAUAGGAGUACAGUUGAUUUUUGUGUGUUGAUCUUAUGUCUUGCAACCUUGUUGAACUCAUUAGUUCUAGGAGGUUUUUUGGUAGGCUUCUCAAGAUUUUUCAUGUAGGUGAUUAUGUCAUCUGCAAAUAGGAGUAGUUUUGUUUCUUCCUUUCCUAUCCGUAUGCCUUUUAUUUCUACUUCUUGCCUUACUGCACUGGGUAGAACUUCCAGUAAUGUGUUUAAUAGUCAUUGUGAGAACAGCAUCCUCAUUCCUGAUUUUAGAGGGAAAACAUUCAGUCUUUAACCAUUAAGUAUGAUGUUAACCAUAGGCUUUUUUGUAGUUGCUCUUCACCUAGUUGAGGAAAUUCACCUCUAUUCC